Molecule: ribosomal RNA, 254 nt
Filed under: uncultured bacterium
Lineage: Bacteria
Description: partial 16S ribosomal RNA
Rfam family: Bacterial small subunit ribosomal RNA
Source: RNAcentral
CACGUAGGGGGCAAGCGUUGUCCGGAUUUAUUGGGCGUAAAGAGCUCGUAGGCGGUUCGGUAAGUCGGGUGUGAAACCUCCAGGCUCAACCUGGAGACGCCACUCGAUACUGCUGUGACUAGAGUCCGGUAGGGGAGCGUGGAAUUCCUGGUGUAGCGGUGAAAUGCGCAGAUAUCAGGAGGAACACCAGCGGCGAAGGCGGCGCUCUGGGCCGGAACUGACGCUGAGGAGCGAAAGCGUGGGGAGCAAACAGG